UACGUAGGGUGCGAGCGUUGUUCGGAAUUAUUGGGCGUAAAGGGUGCGUAGGCGGUUUGGUAAGUCUUAUGUGAAAUCUAUGGGCUCAACUCAUAGACUGCAUGAGAAACUGCCGGGCCUGAGUAUGGGAUGAGGUGAGUGGAAUUCCUGGUGUAGCGGUGAAAUGCGUAGAUAUCAGGAGGAACACCUGUGGCGAAAGCGGCUCACUGGACCAUAACUGACGCUGAUGCACGAAAGCUAGGGGGAGCAAACAGG
RNAcentral lists this ribosomal RNA (255 nucleotides) under uncultured bacterium. RNAcentral's name for it is "partial 16S ribosomal RNA". It matches the Rfam family "Bacterial small subunit ribosomal RNA", at positions 524 to 776 of the family's 1533-position model. The record is from RNAcentral.